GGGGGCGUACUGGUUUCGACGGGGAUGGUGCAGCAGGAUCAGCGAGCGGCGGCGCCUGACCGCCAUAAAACGGGCAACUUAUAAAUCAAAUAACAACGAUAAUACCGUUGCUGUCGCUGCCUGAUUAGGCGCGACCGUCCCGGCCGGAAGGGCCACGAGCCGGUUCGGGGCGUGACUUGAGUGGCGAACGUGAGUACGGUAAGCUUUGCCCGUGCCAUGCAUCAUGAAGCUACUAACCGCCGUAGUGUGACGGCUCACGCCGGCGGAAGGGAAUGUAAAUAACCGUCUGCGCUCGGAGAAAGUCCUGUGAAUCUGUUUUCGGACGCGGGUUCGAUUCCCGCCGCCUCCAU
RNAcentral lists this transfer-messenger RNA (350 nucleotides) under chicken gut metagenome. It matches the Rfam family "transfer-messenger RNA". Rfam says of the family: Bacterial tmRNA, also known as 10Sa RNA or SsrA, is named for its dual tRNA and mRNA-like properties. Its role is to liberate the mRNA from a stalled ribosome. The record is from RNAcentral.